Long non-coding RNA from Schistocerca serialis cubense, 2274 nucleotides. RefSeq lists it as uncharacterized. Lineage: Eukaryota; Metazoa; Arthropoda; Insecta; Orthoptera; Acrididae. The record is from RefSeq and is a predicted model, not a curated record. The transcript is spliced from 3 exons.
CGCUCAGCCACGGCGCGCGCGCCCUGCUCAUCCGCCUGCUGGAGCCGGAGCCGCGCGCCCGCCUGCGCUCGCUGCUCGCCCUCCAGCAGCAGCCCUUCUUCAAGGACUUCUCCUUCGUCGACGCCAGAUCCAAGAAGUUUCAUCCACUCCAAAUAUUGGAAAAAUACUUUCCUGAUGGGCCUGUAACAUCAUCUGACUUUGUGUCAGAUGAUACUUCAUUUAGAGAUUUUUCUCCAGACUCAAAAUGAUGGUAUUUUGAUCUGUGUUUCCUUCAGAAGUGGCAGUUUUGCAUCAAUAAGGAGGUAUCAUUUAUUUUUAUGUAAUCAUACAAUACAAACAGUUUCUGCACUAUGGACAGAAAUUGUCAUCUGUGAAUACAAGAAGUUACCAAAAGAACUUUUAGGUACUAACAAAGUGUAACUUUUGUCAAUUAUGCUUUCUUUUAUUGUUACCUCUUUUAAAUGUUACCAAAUGUCUAAAAUAAUGCAAACCACCAAUGCAAUAGGUAUAUAUUUUCCAAACAGUUUGAGUAAUGACUGUGGAUCAUAACAUUUUUUUUCUUUUCUGUUUUUGAGCUUUUAGUUUCAGUGUUUUUGAUGUUAACUGUUAUUACCAUCAUUAUUUCAUAUUUACUUAGAAAAAUGAAGAAUUUCAUAGUACUAACUUUGCGCCUUCUCCUCCGUUUCCUUUUCCUUGUAAUUUGUCAUACUGAAAAUUCUUGUUGAAAAAAAUUUGAAUUCACUUUUAUUAGCAUAUCUAGUGGUUUAAUUGUUUAUGCAGGCUCGGUGUUACUUGUAGAGAUUAUUUGAAACACUAUAAUUUUAAUUUUUUGUACCUUUGCUUGAAAAGUUACACAUAUUAAAUUUUUCAGUGGACUUAGAAGUUACUGAUUCAUGUGCUUAUAACAUUUAAUCAUAUAAAUCUUAUACUGUUUGUUAUUUCAUGACAAAUGAUUUAUACUAUUUUCCAUAAUUUAUCCAGCCAGUCUGUAAAAGAAUAAAUGCUCAUUGGUUUAUGGCAAUACUGGUGACACAGAAUUUACUCUGGCUGCAGUAUGGCGAUAAUGCUCAUUUUUCUAGUUUUUUGUAUCCAAUGCUUUGUAUUAUGUUUCCUCCGAAUAUCAGAUUUUCUUAUCUUUGUACUCAUCCCAUAGCAUUUCUGCCUGCCAUUUCGAGUAGAUAUUAGAUUCAUAAAUAAAUGUCUUUGUUUUUAUCUCAGUGUGUGUUGUUGACAGAUAUUGAUAAAUAUUCCCUAUUGUAGAUUUAUAAGUUCCAAAGUGAUUAAUAUAUGUGUAGUAUAUGUUAAGUAGGUCCACACCAGCUAUUCAGAGGAACAAAAUAUUUAUAGUCACUGUGUCAUUAUAUCAGUGAAUGGUAAAGCUUUUGUUUUUUUGAAAUGAAAGUAAACAGGCAUACCUGUGAUGCAGCAGUUUAUAUAGUAUAACAGUACCUAUUGUAAACAACCAUACUAUUCAGUCACAUAUCAUAUGGUGUAAACUAGAAAUGAAAGACUUCCUUCAGCUUCAAUAUUUUUGGUUGCAAAAAUUCUGCACAUCUAGCAAACAUAUGAGGCCUUAUUCUCAGGGAUUAUUUUACGACUGUAUGUUUAACUAUGGUAUGGAAAAAUGUGUGAGAAAUAUGCAAUAUAUAUUUUAACAAUGCAUGAAGCACAAAUGUAUCUUAUGCCACAAAAAGAGAGAAGUUGGGACAGUAUAUUCACUUCUAUUAGAGGAAUGUAACAUUAAUUUAAAUGAUUGUAAAACUUUUGAAAUUGUGCAAAUUAGGUACAGUAGUCCACAGUAUUUCCUCUGAAACCAAUAUAUUGUGGUAUGUUGAAUUUUUUAAAUGUCUUUCAUUUGUGGUGUUUGGAUUUUUUGCCCUAUUUCAGUAUUACUAAUUUUGUUUCCGUCCAUCAAAAAUUACAUGUCUGAAUCAUUCCAUAAGAAAUGUCAAUACUUAUAUACUUGAUGUUUUUGAAGAUGAUUCCUAUGCUAGUGCCUCAUUAUGGUAAUACUCAGUCUUGUGAGAUUACUAGUAUUAAACAUAUAAUUUUUAGCUUAUAUCUUACUACACUACAGUGUUGCAAUGUAUUUAAAUUAUAAUGCUUGUGGAUGUGAUAUUUUCAGGUUGUGUUUCACUAUAGGGGACAUUUUACAUUUGUUACACUGUGUGGCAGAUCCUUAAUCUAUGUGUUCUGUACAGUAUUAAGGUCUAUCGCUUUCUCCACUUGGACAAGUUCUGCACUUUUUUUCAUAAAUACUAUGUAUUUUCUAUU